GGGCCCGUAGCUCAGCCUGGUAGAGCAGCGGCCUUUUAAGCCGCGUGCCGAGGGUUCGAAUCCCUCCGGGCUCG
RNAcentral lists this transfer RNA (74 nucleotides) under archaeon GW2011_AR10. Its description in RNAcentral is "tRNA-Lys". It matches the Rfam family "tRNA". Rfam says of the family: Transfer RNA (tRNA) molecules are approximately 80 nucleotides in length. Their secondary structure includes four short double-helical elements and three loops (D, anti-codon, and T loops). RNAcentral also lists the same sequence under 1 other name. The record is from RNAcentral.